GAUGAAGAACGUAGCGAAAUGCGAUAAGUAAUGCGAAUUGCAGAGUUUUGUGAGUCAUCGAAUCUUUGAACGCACAUUGCGCCCCUCGGUAUUCCGACGGGCAUGCCUGUCCGAGCGUCGUUUGCACCAAUCGAGUCACACAUUGUUCUCGGUCUUGGGCGCCGUCCCUCCCCUGGGGGCGACGGGCCUCAAACCCCUCGGCGGCGCCGAGUGCCCGCCGGAGCGUCUUCGAACAGCAACCGCUCCGCGCGCGGCCUCGGGGCUCGCCGGGAGAAAACCCCCCAAAGUUUGACCUCGGAUCAGGUAGGGCUACCCGCUGAACUUAAGCAUAUCAAUAAGCGGAGGA
This 346-nucleotide unclassified non-coding RNA is filed under the name soil metagenome. Its description in RNAcentral is "partial contains 5.8S ribosomal RNA, internal transcribed spacer 2, and large subunit ribosomal RNA". The stretch from base 1 to 120 matches the Rfam family "5.8S ribosomal RNA", at positions 35 to 154 of the family's 154-position model. The record is from RNAcentral.